This is a non-coding RNA of Pelobates cultripes (western spadefoot toad), 239 nucleotides long. NCBI's taxonomy places the organism in Eukaryota, Metazoa, Chordata, Amphibia, Anura, Pelobatidae. The record is from the annotation of a GenBank genome assembly.
CCCUCCCUUCACAGGGUGUUUCGAACUAACCGUUUUUCUGGCAGAGCCGGUCACCAUAGAGGCCGAGCUACUGGCAGGUCUGCCUUCAACGGCUACAGGCCUCGACCAAGUGAACCUUGGGACUCUGGUGAUGCCCGUCCCUAUCAUAGACAACUGUUUACCAACAGAGGAUCAAUCAGAGGACGUGGCUCUGCUUCUCUCCGGGGUCGAUCUGCUCAAGGUAAUGCACCUACCUUAUU